RNAcentral lists this ribosomal RNA (434 nucleotides) under uncultured bacterium. Its description in RNAcentral is "bacterial SSU rRNA". It matches the Rfam family "Bacterial small subunit ribosomal RNA", at positions 78 to 507 of the family's 1533-position model. The record is from RNAcentral.
AAUCCUGGUGGGCGAGGUGGCGAACGGGUGAGUAAUAUAUCGGAACGUGCCCAGUCGUGGGGGGAUAACGUAGCGAAAGCUACGCUAAUACCGCAUACGAUCUAUGGAUGAAAGCGGGGGAUCGCAAAGACCUCGCGCGAUUGGAGCGGCCGAUAUCAGAUUAGGUAGUUGGUGAGGUAAAGGCUCACCAAGCCGACGAUCUGUAGCUGGUCUGAGAGGACGACCAGCCACACUGGGACUGAGACACGGCCCAGACUCCUACGGGAGGCAGCAGUGGGGAAUUUUGGACAAUGGGCGCAAGCCUGAUCCAGCAAUGCCGCGUGCAGGAUGAAGGCCUUCGGGUUGUAAACUGCUUUUGUACGGAACGAAACGGUGAGCUCUAAUACAGUUUGCUAAUGACGGUACCGUAAGAAUAAGCACCGGCUAACUACGUG